UUCCCUUACGCAUGUGCUAGCAGACAGCGGUUUGUUUGCUUGAGUAGCUUGAGCAUGGCUUGAGGAUGAGAUUUGUGGUAGUGGUGAAGCAGCUUUGCCAAAUAUUCCGUUCAAGUUCCUCGCUGGAUGUCCGGCUCGUCCGUCGAUGUUCAACAGAUGCAACAAGUGCCUGUCCACUUUUUCUCAGCUGCACCUUCUCAGUCCAGGCAGCAGCAGCAGCACCAGGUGAAUGUAGGUACACAACUUCCAAGUGAAUUGCAAUUCUGAAGCCGAUUUUCAGGCAUGGGGAGAAGAAAUGCAGGAUGCAACCACCCUCAUGGUGGUGUACAAGUAUUGCCUUGUAGUGAGGUGAAUUGGAUCCUUUGAAACGUGCCAUCCAGCACACCCCGAAUACUGAGCUGCAGUGCAAUGCCGUCAUGUAGUUUCCCUAACAUAAACAAAUAGUUUCUUGAAGGUAAAAAAAGGACAUUCCAGUACAACAUAGUGUUUUACAAGUGCCUGCACGGGCCGCCUCUAUUGCAUCUUCGUCUGUUUUUGUCAGUGGGGUGUGGGACAGCCCAAAAUCAUGUGCAUAAUAGGAAGCUUGGAAGACAAACGAGACCUUGCCAGUUUGGAACAUUGCACACAUAUCAGCAAGGCAGGUGUCCCCACGCUUGACGGAACCUUGUGAUUUGACGGACCUUUUCCUUUGAUGUGUCCUCUCUAUAAAAGCACCUGAUCAGUUACAAAUAUAAUAACACUUUAAACCAGAGAGUCGAACCGAACCCGAACCGAAAACCGUUAUUUUUGGCCGAACCGGAACUGAACCGAACCGAAAGAGUCGACGCCAUCUUGGAGCUGAACCGGAACUAAACCGGUAAAGAAAUACCGGUUUCCGGUUCAAAUAACGGUUCACACGGAAUUAAGUGC
Long non-coding RNA from Ornithodoros turicata, 909 nucleotides. RefSeq lists it as uncharacterized. The transcript is spliced from 3 exons. NCBI's taxonomy places the organism in Eukaryota, Metazoa, Arthropoda, Arachnida, Ixodida, Argasidae. The record is from RefSeq and is a predicted model, not a curated record.